UACGGAAGCAGCAGUGGGGAAUAUUGCACAAUGGGCGCAAGCCUGAUGCAGCCAUGCCGCGUGUAUGAAAAAGGCCUUCGGGUUGUAAAGUACUUUCAGUCGUGAGGAAGGUGUUAAGGUUAAUAACCUUAGCAAUUGACGUUAGCGACAGAAGAAGCACCGGCUAACUCCGUGCCAGCAGCCGCGGUAAUACGGAGGGUGCGAGCGUUAAUCGGAAUUACUGGGCGUAAAGGGCACGCAGGCGGUUAAUUAAGUUGGAUGUGAAAUCCCCGGGCUUAACCUGGGAAUGGCAUUCAAGACUGGUUAGCUAGAGUCUUGUAGAGGGGGUAGAAUUCCAUGUGUAGCGGUGAAAUGCGUAGAGAUGUGGAGGAAUACCGGUGGCGAAGGCGGCCCCUGGACAAAGACUGACGCUCAUGUGCGAAAGCGUGGGGAGCGAAACAGGGAUUAGAUACC
This 453-nucleotide ribosomal RNA is filed under the name uncultured bacterium. Its description in RNAcentral is "bacterial SSU rRNA". It matches the Rfam family "Bacterial small subunit ribosomal RNA", at positions 340 to 786 of the family's 1533-position model. The record is from RNAcentral.